This 465-nucleotide ribosomal RNA is filed under the name uncultured bacterium. RNAcentral describes it as "bacterial SSU rRNA". It matches the Rfam family "Bacterial small subunit ribosomal RNA", at positions 338 to 795 of the family's 1533-position model. The record is from RNAcentral.
CCUACGGGACGCAGCAGUGGGGAAUAUUGCACAAUGGGCGCAAGCCUGAAGCAGUCAUGCCGCGUGUAUGAAGAAGGCCUUCGGGUUGUAAAGUACUUUCAGCGAGGAGGAAGGCGAUAAGGUUAAUAACCUUGUCGAUUGACGUUACUCGCAGAAGAAGCACCGGCUAACUCCGUGCCAGCAGCCGCGGUAAUACGGAGGGUGCAAGCGUUAAUCGGAAUUACUGGGCGUAAAGCGCACGCAGGCGGUCUGUUAAGUCAGAUGUGAAAUCCCCGGGCUCAACCUGGGAACUGCAUUUGAAACUGGCAGGCUUGAGUCUUGUAGAGGGGGGUAGAAUUCCAGGUGUAGCGGUGAAAUGCGUAGAGAUCUGGAGGAAUACCGGUGGCGAAGGCGGCCCCCUGGACGAAGACUGACGCUCAGGUGCGAAAGCGUGGGGAGCAAACAGGAUUAGAUACCCUCGUAGUC